Molecule: ribosomal RNA, 462 nt
Filed under: uncultured bacterium
Lineage: Bacteria
Description: partial 16S ribosomal RNA
Rfam family: Bacterial small subunit ribosomal RNA
Source: RNAcentral
GAUGAACGCUGACAGAAUGCUUAACACAUGCAAGUCGAUGGGGAAGUGGUGCUUGCACCAUGGCAACCAUGGCGGACGGGUGAGUAACGCGUAAGGGACUUACCUGCAGGACUGGGAUAACAGGGGGAAACUCCUGACAAGACCGGAUAAUGUCAUGGAGCUGCAUGGCUUUAUGAUGAAAGGAGACGCCUGCGGAGAGCCUUGCGUCCUAUUAGCUAGUUGGUGAGGUAAUGGCUCACCAAGGCGAAGAUAGGUAGCCGGCCUGAGAGGGUGGACGGCCACAAGGGGACUGAGAUACGGCCCUUACUCCUACGGGAGGCAGCAGUGGGGAAUAUUGGACAAUGGGGGCAACCCUGAUCCAGCAAUUCUGUGUGCACGAAGAAGGUUUUCGGAUUGUAAAGUGCUUUCAGCAGGGAAGAAGUAAGUGACGGUACCUGCAGAAGAAACGACGGCGAAAUACGU